CCUACGGGGGGCAGCAGUAGGGAAUCUUCCACAAUGGUCGAAAGCCUGAUGGAGCAACGCCGCGUGGGUGAAGAAGGUCUUCGGAUCGUAAAACCCUGUUGUUAGAGAAGAAAGUGCGUGAGAGUAACUGGUCACGUUUCGACGGUAUCUAACCAGAAAGCCACGGCUAACUACGUGCCAGGAGCCGCUGUAAUACGUAGGUGGCAAGCGUUAUCCGGAUUUAUUGGGCGUAAAGGGAACGCAGGCGGUCUUUUAAGUCUGAUGGGAAAGCCUUCGGCUUAACCGGAGUAGUGCAUUGGAAACUGGGAGACUUGAGUGCAGAAGAGGAGAGUGGAAUGCCAUGUGUAGCGGUGAAAUGCGUAGAUAUAUGGAAGAACACCAGUGGCGAAAGCGGCUCUCUGGUCUGUAACUGACGCUGAGGUUCGAAAGCGUGGGUAGCAAACAGGAUUAGAUACCCUUGUAGUC
RNAcentral lists this ribosomal RNA (465 nucleotides) under uncultured bacterium. RNAcentral describes it as "partial 16S ribosomal RNA". It matches the Rfam family "Bacterial small subunit ribosomal RNA", at positions 338 to 795 of the family's 1533-position model. The record is from RNAcentral.